CCUACGGGUGGCAGCAGUGAGGAAUAUUGGUCAAUGGCCGGAAGGCUGAACCAGCAAAGUCGCGUGAGGGAAUAAGGCCCUAUGGGUCGUAAACCUCUUUUGUCAGGAAGCAAAGGCGUCCACGAGUGGACGAAAGGAGAGUACCUGAAGAGAAAGCAUCGGCUAACUCCGUGCCAGCAGCCGCGGUAAUACGGAGGAUGCGAGCGUUAUCCGGAUUUAUUGGGUUUAAAGGGUGCGUAGGCGUAGUGUCAAGUCAGCGGUAAAAUUUCGGGGCUCAACCCCGUCGUGCCGUUGAAACUGACAUCCUUGAGUGAGUGAGAAGUAAGCGGAAUGCGUGGUGUAGCGGUGAAAUGCAUAGAUAUCACGCAGAACGCCGAUUGCGAAGGCAGCUUACCGGCGCUCAACUGACGCUCAUGCACGAAAGCGUGGGUAUCGAACAGGAUUAGAUACCCGAGUAGUC
Molecule: ribosomal RNA, 460 nt
Filed under: uncultured bacterium
Lineage: Bacteria
Description: partial 16S ribosomal RNA
Rfam family: Bacterial small subunit ribosomal RNA
Source: RNAcentral